Molecule: unclassified non-coding RNA, 255 nt
Filed under: Tilletiopsis washingtonensis
Lineage: Eukaryota; Fungi; Basidiomycota; Exobasidiomycetes; Entylomatales
Description: partial internal transcribed spacer region
Rfam family: Eukaryotic small subunit ribosomal RNA (bases 1-46)
Source: RNAcentral
AAGUCAUAACAAGGUUUCUGUAGGUGAACCUGCAGAAGGAUCAUUAGUGAAUACACCGGGGAACCCACUCUGUGGGCCCCAACCCUUCACCAUAUCCUCACACCUGUGCACCGCUGGUAGAUGCCGCUGUACUUCGGUACGGUUUGCAGCUGCUGGCAACCUAUACACACACACCUGAGUUCUAUGAAUGUUAAUUUUACUUGCCUUCGGGCAGAACUAAAAUACAACUUUUGACAACGGAUCUCUUGGUUCUCC